This is a long non-coding RNA of Drosophila virilis, 606 nucleotides long. RefSeq lists it as uncharacterized. The record is from RefSeq and is a predicted model, not a curated record. NCBI's taxonomy places the organism in Eukaryota, Metazoa, Arthropoda, Insecta, Diptera, Drosophilidae.
CGCUUUCCUUGUCAGGCUGUUUUGGAAAAUAACUCAAAUAUGAAUAUUUGCCUCUAGUUUAAGGCAACAGCUUGUUUUAUACGUACUUGUGGAGCUGGCAAUGAAGUAAACCCAGAGCCUGUUCCUCCGCCGAAUGAAUGGAAUACUAAAAAUCCCUGAAGACCAGUGCACUGAUCAGCAAGCUUACGGAUACGAUCUAGUACUAUAUCCACAAUUUCCUUUCCUAUUGUAUAAUGACCACGGGCGUAGUUGUUGGCUGCAUCCUCCUUGCCAGUGAUCAACUGUUCGGGGUGGAAGAGCUGUCGAUAUGUACCAGUACGAACUUCAUCAACAACAGUUGGCUCUAAGUCAACGAAAACUGCACGUGGCACGUGCUUACUGGCACUAGUUUCACUAAAAAAAGUAUUAAAGGAGUCAUCCCCGCCACCAAUUGUUUUAUCAGAGGGCAUAUGUCCAUCAGGCUGAAUUCCAUGCUCUAGGCAAUAUAAUUCCCAGCAAGCGUUACCAAUCUGAACUCCAGCUUGCCCUAUAUGAACUGAAAUGCACUCCCUCUAUAACAAAAGAAAAUAAAGUUCAGUUCAGUAGACCGUGUAACAUCACUAUAAA